Molecule: ribosomal RNA, 491 nt
Filed under: uncultured bacterium
Lineage: Bacteria
Description: partial 16S ribosomal RNA
Rfam family: Bacterial small subunit ribosomal RNA
Source: RNAcentral
AGUGAACGCUGGCGGUAGGCCUAACACAUGCAAGUCGAACGGCAGCACAGUAAGAGCUUGCUCUUACGGGUGGCGAGUGGCGACGGGUGAGGAAUACAUCGGAAUCUACUUUUUCGUGGGGGAUAACGUAGGGAAACUUACGCUAAUACCGCAUACGACCUACGGGUGAAAGCCGGGGAUCUUCGGACCUUGCGCGAUUGAAUGAGCCGAUGUCGGAUUAGCUAGUUGGCGGGGUAAAGGCCCACCAAGGCGACGAUCCGUAGCUGGUCUGAGAGGAUGAUCAGCCACACUGGAACUGAGACACGGUCCAGACUCCUACGGGAGGCAGCAGUGGGGAAUAUUGGACAAUAGGCGCAAGCCUGAUCCAGCCAUACCGCGUGGGUGAAGAAGGCCUUCGGGUUGUAAAGCCCUUUUGUUGGGAAAGAAAAGCAGCAGGUUAAUACCCCGCUGUUCUGACGGUACCCAAAGAAUAAGCACCGGCUAACUUCGUG